GAUGAAGAACGUAGUGAAAUGCGAUAAGUAAUGUGAAUUGCAGAAUUCAGUGAAUCAUCGAAUCUUUGAACGCAUCUUGCGCUCCUUGGUAUUCUGAGGAGCAUGCCUGUUUGAGUGUCAUUAAAUUCUCAACUACACUGACUUUGAAUUGGUGUGGCUUGGAUUUGGGUGGGAAAAUUGUUGUGGGCUUUUUGUAUAGUCUGCUCCCCUGAAAUUGAUUAGCGGUACCUUUGUGGAACUGUCUACAGGUGUGAUAAUUAUCUACAUCUUAGACAUCUGCUGGAAUGCUGCUUUCUAAACCUUACUUGUAUUGACAAUCUUGACCUCAAAUCAGGUAGGACUACCCGCUGAACUUAAGCAUAUCAAUAAGCGGAGGA
This 377-nucleotide unclassified non-coding RNA is filed under the name soil metagenome. RNAcentral's name for it is "partial contains 5.8S ribosomal RNA, internal transcribed spacer 2, and large subunit ribosomal RNA". The stretch from base 1 to 120 matches the Rfam family "5.8S ribosomal RNA", at positions 35 to 154 of the family's 154-position model. The record is from RNAcentral.